GACGAACGCUGGCGGCGUGCCUAACACAUGCAAGUCGAACGGGGUAGAGAGCUUCGGUUUUCUGCUUAGUGGCGAACGGGUGAGUAACGCGUGAAGAACCUGCCUUUCAGUGGGGGACAACAGUUGGAAACGACUGCUAAUACCGCAUAAUGUAUUCGGAUGGCAUCAUCUGGAUACCAAAGCUUUAUGUGCUGAAAGAUGGCUUCGCGUCUGAUUAGCUAGAUGGCGGGGUAACGGCCCACCAUGGCGACGAUCAGUAGCCGGUCUGAGAGGAUGAACGGCCACAUUGGGACUGAGAUACGGCCCAGACUCCUACGGGAGGCAGCAGUGGGGAAUAUUGGGCAAUGGGGGAAACCCUGACCCAGCAACGCCGCGUGAAGGAAGAAGGCCUUCGGGUUGGUAAACGUUCUUUUACCUAGGGUACGAAGAACGUGACGGUACCUGGAGAAAAAGACAACGGACUAACUACGUG
Molecule: ribosomal RNA, 472 nt
Filed under: uncultured bacterium
Lineage: Bacteria
Description: bacterial SSU rRNA
Rfam family: Bacterial small subunit ribosomal RNA
Source: RNAcentral